GAUUUCAGAGAGAGCAUCCUGACUGGAGGACAAGUGAGGUCGGCCUGCCUGCGCCUUCUCUUUCACUUUCCUUUCAGCUUUGAGCCUCACGUCCUCCUCAGGACGCCCCAUCAGACUGAAGGGGGUUUGAAUCCCAAGCAGCCCAAGUUCCUGCUUGAGAUGGUGGCGGAGGAACUUCACGACGACCAUGGAAAGGAUGAGGAGAGCGAGCACUCCGCCCACCGACGCCCCGAUCGCAACCGCAAUCGUGGAGUCUCUCGGCGGCGGCACUGAGGGGAAAGGAUGAGGAAGAGCGGUUCCCCGCGAACGUGACCCGGUCGGCGAACGGGACCCUGUCUGGCAGCGUGACCCGGUCUGCAAAGCGCCGGGCCAUCAUUCCUUUCUUCUGGUUGUACACCAUAAACUACGGAGAGAAGUUAAGAAAGAGACGGUUUACAGUAAGUAGGGUUCGAACCUUGCCUAUGACAUUCUUACCAUUUUUUCCGUGUCGUUGACCGUUUCUUGGUAGGUCCAGUUCAUGACGAACUUGGGCGGGUAUAUCUUAUAGCAGGAAGUGAAAGUGCAGGGGAUUUUGAUAUCGGUCCCAUUCUUUACGUUGAUUUUACUGGGCACAAUGACGUCCAUGCAUAGAGAACCUGCAAGGAAAAACAUUUCGUUACUAGCUGAGAGAUUAAACUGCCGGUAAUCUAAACCCAGCAGACACAAGACAUCGAUACAACGUUGAUUACACACAUACAUGUCCUUUAAAACGGACUUUGAAACAAGGUGGCCAAAUAGUUGUAUUUGUAAAUUGAGACAACGUUGGAUCCAUCUUGUUGGUUGGGAAAUGACCAAAUUUCAAUGCUUAAAAUCAACGUCGCUGUGGAAGACUUGCUUUUCCGUGUUCUUCAGACCACCAAUCACUGACAUGACAGCUUCCUUCAUAGUUCUGAACAAUGAUUUACCGUAUUUCCUUGAAUAGUAUGCGCCUGCCUAGAAUUACUGCGGGGUCAAACUCGUUUCGCAAAAUAUUAUUUCUAUUAGCGCAUGUCUAGAAUUUCCGCAGGGUUAAACGCGUUUCGCCAAAUAAUUAGCAUAUGCCUAGAAUUUCCACCGGGUCAAACUCGUCACGUCACGAGUGACACUUCACCUGUCGUAAUUUUCAAAAUGGAUGAGGCUGAUUUCAACAAUUUGAAAUCGCAUAAAGGGAAGAAGAUUAAGAGCUAUUCAGUAGGAUUUAAGGUCCAAGCUAUGGAAUAUGCUAAAAAGAACAGUAAGCAGCUAUGUUUUAUUAAUAUACCGUAGCUGCGUGUGUCAAAUAGGAGUCGUUAAAUGACUCCCACGUCUUGGUGGUAGAGGACGCUAGUGAUCCUUCUUGCGACUACUCGGCUGCAGAAGAAGUGACAAUGAGCAGCAAUCGUUUAUUUUUUCCUAUCGCUUGCACUUUUAACAUGGAGGAUUACAAAUCUAAAAUAAAACAGUUUUCUAAACUGGACUUUCAAUCGAAGCAGGAGGUAAUAAUAGAAGAUCUCCAUCGAUACAGAGAGACUUUUAAAACUGAAGAAAGAUAAGGAAGACUUCUAUAAACAAGUUAUCGAUGCUUUUGAUCAGAAAGAGCUGCGCAUGGACUUCAUUUAUAAGUAAAGGUAAGACCAUAAUAACGUUUUUUUUUUAAUUAAAUGUGCUUUUCAUGAUGGUAUCCUUACAUCACACUCAAAUUUAUAAGCGCAAGCCUAAAUUUACCGCAUGCCUUUAGUAAGCGCCAGAGUGAAAAGAGGUUUUAAAAUAAUUAGCGCUCCGGCGGCAAUUCAAGGAAAUACGGUCCAUCCAUCCAUUUUCUACCGCUUAUUCCCUUUUUGGGAUAGCAGGGGGCACUGGCGCCUAUCUCAGCUACAAUCGGGCGGAAGGCGGGGUACACCCUGGACAAGUCGCCAACUCAUCGCAGGGCCAGGAUAUUUUUCAAUAAAUGUUCUUUGUGUUCCUUUUCAGUCAUUGCGUUACGUGUCAGUCCUCGUUCUCUCUCAUGCUUGUAAGCAUGUACUCGUUCCCCAUCAUCUACAACCCUCUCCUUCCCGGCUGCUGCUCCUUAACAGAGCGGCCGGUGAUUAGAUAAACCGGCCCAAGUGUGCCAUCUACGCACCAGUCGUUAAUCUCAAAACCGGCCCUGGCACAACUUGUUUCGCUGCAGGUACGCAGGCCACGCCCCCCCACCAUCCCACAGUCACAACCUGACAUUGAAUAAACAUGGUCAAAAAGCAUGUUGUUUCAACGUUGUAUUUGCGUUGUAGAAUAUUGGUUAGGAAAUUACCAAAAUUCAAUGGUCAAAUCAACGCCACAAACUGACAUUGAAUAAACGUUGACAAAAAGCAUGUUGUUUUAACGUUGUAUUUGCGUUAGAAAAUGACAACAAUUCAAUGGUCAAAUCAACUUCCGAAC
Long non-coding RNA from Nerophis ophidion (straightnose pipefish), 2415 nucleotides. RefSeq lists it as uncharacterized. The record is from RefSeq and is a predicted model, not a curated record. The transcript has 4 exons. NCBI's taxonomy places the organism in Eukaryota, Metazoa, Chordata, Actinopteri, Syngnathiformes, Syngnathidae.